AAGAGACAGCAGUAGCCGCGGGAACACAGAGGGUGCGAGCGUUAAUCGGAUUUACUGGGCGUAAAGCGUGCGUAGGCGGCUUUUUAAGUCGGAUGUGAAAUCCCUGAGCUUAACUUAGGAAUUGCAUUCGAUACUGGGAAGCUAGAGUAUGGGAGAGGAUGGUAGAAUUCCAGGUGUAGCGGUGAAAUGCGUAGAGAUCUGGAGGAAUACCGAUGGCGAAGGCAGCCAUCUGGCCUAAUACUGACGCUGAGGUACGAAAGCAUGGGGAGCAAACAGGAUUAGAUACCCCGGUAGUCCCUGUCUCUUAUAC
RNAcentral lists this ribosomal RNA (310 nucleotides) under uncultured bacterium. Its description in RNAcentral is "partial 16S ribosomal RNA". It matches the Rfam family "Bacterial small subunit ribosomal RNA", at positions 503 to 807 of the family's 1533-position model. The record is from RNAcentral.